UACGAAGGGGGCUAGCGUUGUUCGGAUUUACUGGGCGUAAAGCGCACGUAGGCGGAUCGUUAAGUCGGGGGUGAAAUCCUGGAGCUCAACUCCAGAACUGCCUUCGAUACUGGCGAUCUUGAGUCCGGAAGAGGUGAGUGGAACUCCUAGUGUAGAGGUGGAAUUCGUAGAUAUUAGGAAGAACACCAGUGGCGAAGGCGGCUCACUGGACUGGUAUUGACGCUGAGGUGCGAAAGCGUGGGGAGCAAACAGG
RNAcentral lists this ribosomal RNA (253 nucleotides) under uncultured bacterium. Its description in RNAcentral is "partial 16S ribosomal RNA". It matches the Rfam family "Bacterial small subunit ribosomal RNA", at positions 524 to 776 of the family's 1533-position model. The record is from RNAcentral.